This 217-nucleotide small RNA is filed under the name Chroococcidiopsis thermalis. RNAcentral's name for it is "c-di-AMP sequence". It matches the Rfam family "c-di-AMP riboswitch aptamer (ydaO/yuaA leader)". Rfam says of the family: This family represents a conserved RNA structure found upstream of the ydaO and yuaA genes in Bacillus subtilis and related genes in other bacteria. The ydaO/yuaA element is thought to act as a genetic "off" switch for the ydaO and yuaA genes in its native state. It is believed that the element may be triggered during osmotic shock leading to activation of ydaO, a predicted amino acid transporter gene, and members of the yuaA-yubG operon which code for KtrA and KtrB K+ transporters. The record is from RNAcentral. Lineage: Bacteria; Bacillati; Cyanobacteriota; Cyanophyceae; Chroococcidiopsidales; Chroococcidiopsidaceae.
GAAAACAGUUAGCCUAAUCCAGUGGUGUCUGUGUUGAGGAGUUCAAGACUUUAGUAAAACUGGAGCGGAGGAACCAAAAUCUGGGGCUUAUCUGGUUUAAAGAUGAAUUAGCAAGAACGAGUAUCGAGUUCAGAUCUUCAUAAUUCAUCCUUGACAAGAAGAACAUCUCUCAGUUCUAGCCCGUCAGCUAACUCCGUAGGCGUUGAGAGGAGACUGA